This 627-nucleotide ribosomal RNA is filed under the name Lactobacillus gasseri. RNAcentral describes it as "partial 23S ribosomal RNA". It matches the Rfam family "Eukaryotic large subunit ribosomal RNA", at positions 1074 to 1698 of the family's 3401-position model. The record is from RNAcentral. Lineage: Bacteria; Bacillati; Bacillota; Bacilli; Lactobacillales; Lactobacillaceae.
UAGGACGGCGCGGCUGCUUCGUUGAGCCGCGCCACGGAAUCGAGAGCUCCAAGUGGGCCAUUUUUGGUAAGCAGAACUGGCGAUGCGGGAUGAACCGGAAGCCGGGUUACGGUGCCCAACUGCGCGCUAACCUAGAACCCACAAAGGGUGUUGGUCGAUUAAGACAGCAGGACGGUGGUCAUGGAAGUCGAAAUCCGCUAAGGAGUGUGUAACAACUCACCUGCCGAAUGAACUAGCCCUGAAAAUGGAUGGCGCUCAAGCGUGCUACCCAUACCUCGCCGUCGGGGUAGAAACGACGCCCCGACGAGUAGGCAGGCGUGGGGGUCCGUGACGAAGCCUUGGGAGUGAUCCCGGGUCGAACGGCCCCUAGUGCAGAUCUUGGUGGUAGUAGCAAAUACUCAAAUGAGAACUUUGAGGACUGAAGUGGGGAAAGGUUCCAUGUGAACAGCAGUUGGACAUGGGUUAGUCGAUCCUAAGGCAUAGGGAAGUUCCGUUUGAAAGGCGCCCUCGUGCGCCGUGUGCCGAAAGGGAAGCCGGUUAACAUUCCGGCACCUGGAUGUGGAUUCUCCACGGCAACGUAACUGAACGCGGAGACGUCGGCGGGGGUCCUGGGAAGAGUUCUCUUUU